Molecule: ribosomal RNA, 324 nt
Filed under: uncultured Pseudomonadota bacterium
Lineage: Bacteria; Pseudomonadati; Pseudomonadota
Description: bacterial SSU rRNA
Rfam family: Bacterial small subunit ribosomal RNA
Source: RNAcentral
AACGAACGCUGGCGGCAUGCCUAACACAUGCAAGUCGAACGAGACCUUCGGGUCUAGUGGCGCACGGGUGCGUAACGCGUGGGAAUCUGCCCUUGGGUUCGGGAUAACAGUUGGAAACGACUGCUAAUACCGGAUGAUGACUUCGGUCCAAAGAUUUAUCGCCCAGGGAUGAGCCCGCGUAGGAUUAGCUAGUUGGUGAGGUAAGAGCUCACCAAGGCGACGAUCCUUAGCUGGUCUGAGAGGAUGAUCAGCCACACUGGGACUGAGACACGGCCCAGACUCCUACGGGUGGCAGCCUGAGACCCAAGGCACACAGGGGAUAGG